Molecule: ribosomal RNA, 255 nt
Filed under: uncultured bacterium
Lineage: Bacteria
Description: partial 16S ribosomal RNA
Rfam family: Bacterial small subunit ribosomal RNA
Source: RNAcentral
GACGAACCGUGCGAACGUUAUUCGGAAUCACUGGGCUUAAAGCGCGUGUAGGCGGGCCGGUACGUCGGUCGCUGAAAGCCCCCGGCUCAACCGGGGAAGCGGCGGCGAUACGACCGGCCUGGAGGGGGGUAGGGGGACCUGGAACUUCCGGUGGAGCGGUGAAAUGCGUUGAGAUCGGAAGGAACGCCCGUGGCGAAAGCGAGGUCCUGGACCCUUUGCUGACGCUGAGACGCGAAAGCCAGGGGAGCGAACGGG